Molecule: ribosomal RNA, 545 nt
Filed under: uncultured bacterium
Lineage: Bacteria
Description: bacterial SSU rRNA
Rfam family: Bacterial small subunit ribosomal RNA
Source: RNAcentral
GCCUGCCGCGUGUAUGAAGAAGGCCUUCGGGUUGUAAAGUACUUUCAGCGGGGAGGAAGGGAGUAAAGUUAAUACCUUUGCUCAUUGACGUUACCCGCAAAAAAAGCACCGGCUAACUCCGUGCCAGCAGCCGCGGUAAUACGGAGGGUGCAAGCGUUAAUCGGAAUUACUGGGCGUAAAGCGCACGCAGGCGGUUUGUUAAGUCAGAUGUGAAAUCCCCGGGCUCAACCUGGGAACUGCAUCUGAUACUGGCAAGCUUGAGUCUCGUAGAGGGGGGUAGAAUUCCAGGUGUAGCGGUGAAAUGCGUAAAGAUCUGGAGGAAUACCGGUGGCAAAGGCGGCCCCCUGGACGAAAACUGACGCUCAGGUGCGAAAGCGUGGGGAGCAAACAGGAUUAAAUACCCUGGUAGUCCACGCCGUAAACGAUGUCGACUUGGAGGUUGUGCCCUUGAGGCGUGGCUUCCGGAGCUAACGCGUUAAGUCGACCGCCUGGGGAGUACGGCCGCAAGGUUAAAACUCAAAUGAAUUGACGGGGGCCCGCACAAG